ACCUGGUUCAAGUAAUCCAGGAUAGGCUGGACCCAUUCUCAUCGGCCUAUUCUCGACUACUUGCACUCGG
MicroRNA precursor from Monodelphis domestica (gray short-tailed opossum), 70 nucleotides. Ensembl annotates it as mdo-mir-26-3. Its record names the gene mdo-mir-26-3. The record is from Ensembl. NCBI's taxonomy places the organism in Eukaryota, Metazoa, Chordata, Mammalia, Didelphimorphia, Didelphidae.